RNAcentral lists this ribosomal RNA (253 nucleotides) under uncultured bacterium. Its description in RNAcentral is "partial 16S ribosomal RNA". It matches the Rfam family "Bacterial small subunit ribosomal RNA", at positions 524 to 776 of the family's 1533-position model. The record is from RNAcentral.
UACGUAGGGGGCAAGCGUUGUUCGGAAUUACUGGGCGUAAAGGGCGCGUAGGCGGCCACGCAAGUCGACUGUGAAAUCUCCGGGCUUAACCCGGAAAGGUCAGCCGAUACUGCGGGGCUAGAGUGCAGAAGGGGCAACUGGAAUUCUCGGUGUAGCGGUGAAAUGCGUAGAUAUCGAGAGGAACACCUGCGGCGAAGGCGGGUUGCUGGGCUGACACUGACGCUGAUGCGCGAAAGCUAGGGGAGCGAACGGG